GAGACAGCAGCCGCCGCGGUAAUACAGAGGGUGCGAGCGUUAAUCGGAUUUACUGGGCGUAAAGCGUGCGUAGGCGGCUUUUUAAGUCGGAUGUGAAAUCCCUGAGCUUAACUUAGGAAUUGCAUUCGAUACUGGGAAGCUAGAGUAUGGGAGAGGAUGGUAGAAUUCCAGGUGUAGCGGUGAAAUGCGUAGAGAUCUGGAGGAAUACCGAUGGCGAAGGCAGCCAUCUGGCCUAAUACUGACGCUGAGGUACGAAAGCAUGGGGAGCAAACAGGAUUAGAUACCCGUGUAGUCCCUGUCUCUUAUAC
This 308-nucleotide ribosomal RNA is filed under the name uncultured bacterium. Its description in RNAcentral is "partial 16S ribosomal RNA". It matches the Rfam family "Bacterial small subunit ribosomal RNA", at positions 505 to 807 of the family's 1533-position model. The record is from RNAcentral.